CCUUGAUGUAGAUGUCUCAUAGCUCACAAAGGAGCAGGGCUAUUUAAAUAUUCAGGGAGCAAGCAGUGCCAGUGAGAGCAGAAGAGACCUUCCCCUUUAAAUGGGUGAAGGCCCAAUCUGCUCCAAAUGUAAAGAGGGAAAGGAGACAAGAAACCUGCUGUGGAAUAGGGUACGUGGCAAAACUCAAAGAGAGAUCUGAGAAGGACAGAAAGCAGGCAAAUCUCAAAAAUGUCUACUACUAAAAAAUCUGGGAAAAUUAUUAGUAAUAAAAUGAAAAAUGGAGCAGUAAUGCAAAAUCCCAUUGCUCUGCCCCGUUAUUGUGGCCCAAUUUCUGAUUAGAAGGAUUGGCAGUUCAUAUCAAUCAAACCUUUAAUUUUUUCUUCCCUUAUUUUUCCCGUUCUCCUCCUACGAUUAAGUUACAAGGAAUUUAUUUUAUUACUUAGGCACAAGUACAGUUUGAAAAAAAAAAAAAUAACAAUAAGGUAAUUUUUGUCUUUUUUCUCAUCAUGAAAUUAUUAUUCCUGGGGUUUUCUGUACCUACAGUGGGAAUAGGAGCCAAGACUCUCCUGUCAGAGCUUGCUACUAAUCCAUCAUGGUGUUGGAGAGUGAGAGGAUAGGCAGUGGUGAACAUGUUCCAGAUUGAAUAUAAGGAGAUAUAAAUUGAAUUCAUGGUUGCAUUUAUAAGGACAUAUCUGAUAAGGGCUUUGGGCCUUUGGGAGAGAGUGAGCGUUUCUCUUCAUAACACUGUAACCUUAAUCUACAGAGGAUCUUCCUUACGUUUUUUCUUAAAAUUUAACUGCGGAGCCUUAAUGGAUGUCACAUUUAGANNNNNNNNNNNNNNNNNNNNNNNNNNNNNNNNUGUGCAAAGCUGUUUGUCUCCCAGUCAGAGGCAAAUGGGAACGGCUGCUGGCAUGCCAAAGCAUUGCACUGAAGGAGACAGUCUGCAGGUAUUAGCUGGAGUGGCAAGAGCAUGGUCUGCCAAGGAACUUCUUCUGGAUAUGUCAUAUAGCAGGAAAAGGAUGCUGUUCAUGAUGGAGAUAUCCAGUUUUGGGGCAAAAUCACAAAAGUGAAGCCUUACAAAACCAGAAAACCAAGCAGAAAGAUCUUCAGCUGAUAUUGCCCUCUUUCCUCAGUAUGCAGACAGCAUUUUCUUUGAUAGAUGGAUGUGUUCCUGUGGAAAAGACUCCACCAUUCUGCUGACAUCUGAUGCCUGACAGGCAAGUUAAACACUUAAGAACUGCACAACAUUGUUUAUGUUGUGCAGUGGGUCCGUUGAAUAGCAAAUUCCUAGAAAAAUGAAGCAUUGUUCAUCCUUAGACUACUUGAGCAUGCUAAAUAAAUUCAGCUGGGAAAAAAUGUCGAAGGCA
Molecule: long non-coding RNA, 1367 nt
Filed under: Phasianus colchicus (ring-necked pheasant)
Lineage: Eukaryota; Metazoa; Chordata; Aves; Galliformes; Phasianidae
Description: lncRNA (ENSPCLG00000021257.1)
Source: RNAcentral